AUUUUUUAUUUGUUUAAAAGUUAUUGUUAUUGCAUAACAUUUUAAGAAAAUUAUUCAUGAUUAAUGAAUAAUAGAAUACUAAGGUUAAAAAUUAUUAGGACUUAUUGUUACAAUAUAAGUUAGACUAAUUUUGGUGUUGAUAAAUCGUUUUAGUUGAUAUCUGUUUAGUGAUGCAUGCAUUAUAAAGUUAUGCUUUAAUAGUAGAUUUGUACGUAAAAAGGACUAAGAAUUCGUUUGUGUUAAAAAAGUUAUUUAGUUAAAGUAGGACUACAAAACUUUGUAGUUUAAAAAAUUUAAGAUUGAGUAAAUUUAAAUAAAAAUAAUUUUAUGUUUAAAAAUUUUUAAAGUGAAUUGGGUAUCAUAUCAAAUGUUUAUUAAAAACUUAUGUCUUUAUAUGAGACUGUUCCCUGCCCAGUGUUUUAUAAUUAACGGCUGUCUUAGCGUGAGGACUUAAAGGUAGCAAAAUCAAUUGUGUUCUUAAUGGAUUCGGGUAUGAAUGGGAUUCUGAUUUGUGAUUUACUUUAAUAGGUUUGAAAUAGUGUAAGUAGUUAAAAAUAAUACUUUCUAAUUAUACAAAGAUAAGUCUUCAGAAAUUAAGUUUUAGAUUAAAAUUAAUGAAAAUCUAUAAUUUAUUUAGGGCAAAAUAAACUAGGUAGUGUUAUAAAACUAAUAUUAUUGGUAAUAAUUACUCUGGAGUUAACAGGAAUAUUUAUCAUAAAAAGAUCAUAUUUUUUGGUAAGUUUUACAUCGAUGUUGUAUCUUGAUUCGAAUGGGGGCAGGACUUUGUUAUGUUGAGACUGUUCUUCUUAAAAAUUGAACGUGAUAUUAGUUUAAUUCAUCGUGAGAUAGAAUGGUUUAUCUUGAUAAUUAGUAAAUAUUUAUGGGGGUCUUUAAGUACGAAAGGAAAUAGGAUAAAACUUGAAGUCAGAAGGUUAGUGACUUAAUUUA
RNAcentral lists this ribosomal RNA (948 nucleotides) under Philometroides sanguineus. Its description in RNAcentral is "large subunit ribosomal RNA". Lineage: Eukaryota; Metazoa; Nematoda; Chromadorea; Rhabditida; Philometridae. The record is from RNAcentral.